RNAcentral lists this small RNA (125 nucleotides) under Marmota monax (woodchuck). Lineage: Eukaryota; Metazoa; Chordata; Mammalia; Rodentia; Sciuridae. The record is from RNAcentral.
GCCGGGCACAGUGGCACACGCCCGUAAUCCUAGUGUCUCGGGAGGCUGAGACAGGAGGAUCGUGAGUUCAAAGCCAGCCUCAGCAGAAGCGAGGCAUUAAGCAACUCAGUGAGACCCUGUCUCUA